This is a long non-coding RNA of Diorhabda carinulata, 557 nucleotides long. RefSeq lists it as uncharacterized. The transcript is spliced from 2 exons. The record is from RefSeq and is a predicted model, not a curated record. Lineage: Eukaryota; Metazoa; Arthropoda; Insecta; Coleoptera; Chrysomelidae.
GCGUUUCAAUUACCAAGUUAUCGUUUUUAGAAACUGCAGGUAAACUCUCUGAAGAUGAUAACCUGAUUAUCAAAACACACGUCAGACAGUGUAAUUGUCAUCAAAAAAGAUUGAAACAUUUACAUUUCCGGGGAAAGGAGAACUAUCCAUUGCGGUUUCCAUGAUGUCUCGAUUUUCCACCUACUAUACUUAUUCACAUUAUACAAAUACAACAAUCAAUUUGAUAAAAAACAACACAUUUCACGAAAAAAACGUCAAAAAAGCUUUUUUAUCGCCAUUCCACCAUCACCGUCAGCUUGCAUUUUUGACAAUAUUUGACAGAAGUUGAGGUUAGUGUGGGUUAAUGGCGUACUUCGGAGCGCGAAAUUUGAAAUUACGAUCGUAAUACCUGUUUUUGAAAUAAAUUUUACAAGUGAAUUUUUUGGAAUUGAAAUGGUUAAAAAAGGCGUAUUAUCUAUUCGAAUUAAAUAUGACCUUGAUAAAUCUAGAAAUAAGAAAAUACUAUCGCAUGCAAUUUAAAAUAUCCCAAUAAAAAUAAAUUAUCAUCAGGACAAAAA